GCUUUGGCGUUUGGGAAUAAUUAUUUAACAGCAGCUUGUUUGCACUUUGGAACACCUCGUGCUUCCAGAGCCGGCCCAUCCUGCUGGGGAGGGGAGAGGUCCCAGCGCUGCUGUCUGGCAGACCUUGGUUUCGGUGGGCACCAGAAGCGAGGCAGAUUGCUUGCUGCUGCAACUUCACGCGUGAGCUCCAGGCUCCCCUGGUUGGAAGGUGCCAGGGAGUGAGGCGGGACUGAAGGACGUACGCCCUCUCCCGGAAUCGUCUCAGCUACAGAGAACCACCUUGCCCAAGGUCACCACCCUCUUGCCAAGGGGGUCACUUGGAUCUAAUGAUUGGUUAAUGCUGGGGGGAGGGGGUAAGUCUUGGCCCCCAGCCUCAACAGUGAUGGCGGUGGCUCCGGGGUCAUCCUAGCUUCCGAGUUUCGUCUAGGUUGAGGGCGCCAUGUUGGGACUGCAUCAGCUUCUCUCUCUGCCUGGUUCUGCUUCCUUUACUUUACCAUUUGUUGUUAGUCCAGGGCACACCCCAGUAAACUUCCUGCAUGCGAGUUCAUCUUAGACUGCUUCCCAGGGAAUCGUAUGUACAACACUCGGGAGUAGAGAGUCACUGAAACGGCCCUAGCUCUGAGAGACCCCUCCUGACCAGCCAUCACCCCUCCCGCUCUUCCUUACUCUGAUUUAUUGUCUUCGUAGAAUUUAACUCUCAGGUCUAUGGCCAUACUGCCCUGAAUGCGCCUGAUCUUGUCUGAUUUCAGAAGCUAAGCAGGGUCGUGCCCGGUUAGUACUUGGAUGGGAGAAUUUAGUGCUCGAACACUAUUGCUGUAGCUUUCUUUAAUAAAUAAAUUUGACUGCC
RNAcentral lists this long non-coding RNA (847 nucleotides) under Homo sapiens (human). Lineage: Eukaryota; Metazoa; Chordata; Mammalia; Primates; Hominidae. The record is from RNAcentral.